RNAcentral lists this ribosomal RNA (429 nucleotides) under Chloroflexota bacterium. Its description in RNAcentral is "Chloroflexi bacterium partial 16S ribosomal RNA". It matches the Rfam family "Bacterial small subunit ribosomal RNA", at positions 355 to 776 of the family's 1533-position model. The record is from RNAcentral. Lineage: Bacteria; Bacillati; Chloroflexota.
UGGGGAAUAUUGCACAAUGGGCGCAAGCCUGAUGCAGCCAUGCCGCGUGUAUGAAGAAGGCCUUCGGGUUGUAAAGUACUUUCAGCGGGGAGGAAGGGAGUAAAGUUAAUACCUUUGCUCAUUGACGUUACCCGCAGAAGAAGCACCGGCUAACUCCGUGCCAGCAGCCGCGGUAAUACGGAGGGUGCAAGCGUUAAUCGGAAUUACUGGGCGUAAAGCGCACGCAGGCGGUUUGUUAAGUCAGAUGUGAAAUCCCCGGGCUCAACCUGGGAAAUGCAUCUGAAACUGGCAAGCUUGAGUCUCGUAGAGGGGGGUAGAAUUCCAGGUGUAGCGGUGAAAUGCGUAGAGAUCUGGAGGAAUACCGGUGGCGAAGGCGGCCCCCUGGACGAAGACUGACGCUCAGGUGCGAAAGCGUGGGGAGCAAACAGG